RNAcentral lists this small RNA (132 nucleotides) under uncultured Coprococcus sp. Its description in RNAcentral is "Ribosomal protein L10 leader". It matches the Rfam family "Ribosomal protein L10 leader", at positions 14 to 135 of the family's 138-position model. From Rfam's summary of the family: This family is a putative r-protein leader autoregulatory structure found in B. subtilis and other low-GC Gram-positive bacteria. The record is from RNAcentral. Lineage: Bacteria; Bacillati; Bacillota; Clostridia; Lachnospirales; Lachnospiraceae.
UGAACUGCCGAAGACAGUAGGUGCCGCAAGGCAUAAGUUUGAAGACGCCUACCGAGGAUAGAAUACUUUCAGAAUUAUUUGAUAGUAACUAUAUGCUCUCAAGUCUUUGGAUUUGAGAGCUUUUCUUAUUAU